UCUAGACGGUGUGGUGAUUUGGCCGGCCGGCUUGCAGCCACGUUAAACAAGUCGCUAAAGGGCCGUGGGUUGUCGAAA
This 78-nucleotide non-coding RNA is filed under the name Rhizobium sp. The record is from RNAcentral. RNAcentral also lists the same sequence under 1 other name. Lineage: Bacteria; Pseudomonadati; Pseudomonadota; Alphaproteobacteria; Hyphomicrobiales; Rhizobiaceae.